GAGAGAGAGAGAGUUCUAUCUUUUGUUUAAGUCAAAAUUUAGGGGGGCAAAUAUUAAAUUCAAAGUUAAGAGGGAAAUUUCAAAAUAUAAUAUUUUCAUAAAUAGCAAUUUAAAAAAAAAAAAGGUUAAUGGGGGCAAUUAGCUUCGCCAUUGCUGAAUGAGCAUAUAGAGUGUGACUCAUUGUAGUAGGAUCUUGAAUGGGUUGGGGGAAUAUGGAUAUAGAAACGUAGAUUAAUUUCUAUCAUUCAUUUCAAAUAAAACUUUGAUGAUUAUCAAGAAAUGAAUAUUUGUGAAGAUGGGAAAUUUGAGAGAAACAGAUGGAGAAGUGUAGAGACUAUAAACAAAAUGAGCUCUUCCCUAUUUGCCUAUAUGGGUAAUGACUGUAACUCAUUAACGCAAUGUUCGGGAGCUACGUGAGGAGGUAUGUUAAGGCAUUUUUUAUUAUUUUUUUAUAAGGUAAGGUAAUUGAAAUAUUUAGUUUCAUCUUGGUUCGGAGUAAUGUAUGAUAAUUGAUGGUUUAGUAUUCUUGUAUUAUUUGGGUGGAAGGUAUGCGAAGGUAAGGUAAGUAUAAAGUUACUUAAAUAUCCUUAUUGUGUAAAGAUGUAUGUUUUAAUAUUUAAAUAUGGAUAAGUAUAUUUAAAUAAGGAUAAGUCUAAAAUUUUUAAAAUGUAUUGAGUGUAAUAUGGGUAAUAAAAAAUUUGGAGGUUUCAAAGCCUAUUUAACCCACCAAUUUGGUGUGGAAAUUGAAGGCCAAGAAAGAUAGAAUUAGCCCAAGUCAAAGUGACGUUUUUGGCAUGCUUGUAGGUCUAAGGUAGCGUGCACCAAUCCUUGUGCAAGUAGGAUAAUGAAGCCUAAGUGAAAGGCAAAUCCAAUUUACAUAAGGAGUUGUUUCAACCUAGGUGCACCAAAAUGCUAGUUUUGGUCCGUUUUUUUUUGGCGCUCCAUAGUUUGGCAUGUGCUUGUGUUUUCUUUGUUCGUUUUGAUUGUUUUAAGUUGUUUGGGUUUAUUUGGAAUUGCUUGAGUGUUGUUUAUUGUGUUUAGAUCUUGGGUUAUAUGUGUUUAGAGUUACAAUUGUGCAAGUUUGGUUAUUCUAACUUGUUGGCGGAAUUGCUUCUUGCUACUUCCACUCUAAUUUCACAUAGUUUAUUUAUUGUAACUUUUAAGGCAUAUCAUUAGCACAAAAAAUUAAACUCUAAUUAAGUUAAAUAGUAAUGUAAACAAUAAUUUAUGGUACUUGUCAAUUAUAAGUUCAUAGCAUUGGAUAGGCGGUGGCUAUGGUUAUUGUUGUUGAAGUGCAAUUUUUUCACAAUGAUUGGAGCACUACAGAUUUCAUUAUAAUAAUUCAAUUUCAAAUGACAAAAAAUUUUCAUUUAAUAGUGUGAUUUAUGUUAUAGAUGACCCAAAAAUUUAGUAGAAUUGUUAGACAGAUGGGCAUUAACCUGCAAUAAAAGUAGAGUAUAUUUUUCUUCAACUCCAGCAU
RNAcentral lists this unclassified non-coding RNA (1480 nucleotides) under Hevea brasiliensis (rubber tree). Lineage: Eukaryota; Viridiplantae; Streptophyta; Magnoliopsida; Malpighiales; Euphorbiaceae. The record is from RNAcentral.